AAAUUAGUGGGAUUUCUUCUAUUCUGUCUUCCAAAGAUAAGUAGUGACUGCAUCGUGAGUACAAGAGUGCUUCGUAGAUAAUGGUGUAUGUGUCCUGUGUAUGCUAGAUUAGUAUUUGGGAUUUGGGAUCAAUUUUUUUUUUAUUAUGUUAUAUUGGUAACUUAAUCUGGAAAAUUUUUUUGAAGUAAACAUCUGACAUUUUAGUUCUGAGGAACUGGCAUUUCUUUUGAAAGUAGUGUGGAAUUGAUGGGGUUGCUACAAGUAUUGUUAUUUUUCCCCCAUGUGAAUAGUAACAUAUUUUAAGUCAUUUAAACAUUUGAUGGAAGGAAUAAAUUUAUUUUAGCUGGUUUUUUUCAUUGAAUAAGGUGUUGAUUUAAUGGAUCAUAUUCUGAGCCCUUUCUUUGCUGUUGGUUGUGGUGUUGGAUACUAUCCCUUUUCUACACAGGGAACUAUUUUAUUUGUUUUACUUUUUAAACUAGAGCUAGGAACAAUGGCAUCUGUGGCUGUAGAAAGCUUUCUUGGAAUAGACUGCUUAUUGACGUUCAAUUACUCUUCUAAAAAGUUUAUUUCACAAUCAAAUGUAAAACAUGCACUGUUAUUUAAUUCAGGACUCUCCAUCUCUGUUUCUAAUAGGGUAAUUUUUAGCAUUGAGCUACUGCUAGCAGUUGUGAUGUAGGACAGUUUGUGUGGUUGUCGUGAAUAAUUGCUAGAAUUUAGGUUAUUCAAGCACUAAACUUCCACAAAAUCUUAACAGCAUAUUACUUCAGAUUUGUCCUAUGCAAGCAGUUGGUAACUCCUGGUGAACUUAGGUGACUUGGGUUGUAGGAGCUAGGUCCA
RNAcentral lists this unclassified non-coding RNA (837 nucleotides) under Hevea brasiliensis (rubber tree). The record is from RNAcentral. Lineage: Eukaryota; Viridiplantae; Streptophyta; Magnoliopsida; Malpighiales; Euphorbiaceae.